Molecule: long non-coding RNA, 1197 nt
Filed under: Homo sapiens (human)
Lineage: Eukaryota; Metazoa; Chordata; Mammalia; Primates; Hominidae
Description: HSALNT0227125
Source: RNAcentral
CACUCCAGCCUGGGCAACGAGCGAAACUCCGUCUCAAGAAAAAAAAUCAGGAGAGUUUAUGGGAAAAGCCUCACUUCCGACUUAUCUUGGAAACUGGAAGAUUUGGUGCAAAUUCCCUUAAGGCCAUAACUGGCUGAAACUGACCAUGGCACUGGGGACACGGCGUGGCCUGCCCCUGCCAGCCUGCUCUACGCCACCACAGCCAUGCACGAGUCCAACUCCUGCGUGGGAAUCGGCUGGAAUCCCUGGAGGGGGUCUGUCUUUUCACCACGGGGAGCUUCAGAAGUAAAUGCCCUGUCCAGUGGGGUAGGAUGAACGGCGGUGGGCAGGGCUCCCCCUGGAAACGGCCGUGAAAACAGACGGCUUGUUCUGCAAGAUGCUCUCGGUCGAGAGGGACUCACCAGGGGCUGCUGAGUGUCCCCAGGGUCUUUGCAGCGGUCCAGCCAGGGUUCUCUGAGAACACCCUGCGGUCAGCCACAGGGAACCAGGCUGUCUCCGAGGCUGACUGCGGGGCUGGGUGGGGCUGCUGUGGCCCUGGAGGUCUCUGAGGGGCUUUCACAGCAGUCCCUGGCACAGGACAGAUGAGUCCUUUGACUCCGGUCUUCUUCCCCGAAUACGGGAGACCUCCUAGGUUGGCCGGAAUGGAGUUCUUUUGACACAAGGCUACUUCUAAUUCCUGCGUUUGGAAAGUUCUCUGGGUUUUUGAGCACUGCUCAUAUUUGGACAACGGAUGUAUUUCAACAGAGCCUUAAAAGAACACGGCUGUUUUGGAGGUGAGGGGCUACCGAGUCCUUUUAGGGAGGGCAGAAAUUGGGGGCCCCUUCCAGGAUGACCAAGGACUUGUCAGUGGCACAGCACUAGGCACCGAGGAGCCUGCUGGUGAAAUUCUGCUCUGCUUCCCGGGGUCAUCUCUCAUCUCCUGGGGAAUUGCAAAGCCACGAUCUUGAUGGAGUCAUUUUGUCCUCAUCCCAGUGGAGCCACGAGCAAGGUGAGGGAGGCAGAGGAGAGAAACCCUUGUCUGCCGGUUGUGUGUGUGGAAGGUCUCUGCUUAGAGCUCGCACAUCCAUGGAGAGUCAGAAGUCAAGCCAGCCAGGACAGUGGGUGUGGGGGGUUGGAGGGAGCAUGUGUUGGUUCCUGCGUCCCUAAGAAGUCGCUGCAUGCCACGCCCUUCUGUCUGGUGCCUGAACUUCCACCCUG